ACUCCACUAACCUUUGGCUCUGGUGUGUGACGUCUGCGAUCGUAAAAAAAAACCUGACGGAGAGGAAGACAAGAUGUUCCAAGUUUCCACAUCAGAUGGACUUUCCCCGGCAACAACUCGCUUGUGUUCCCGGACGACCACAGCUAUUGUUUGGAGCAAUGGAAUGAACGUUUUUCCAGCUUUACCCUGGGAAAAAUGAAUGCUCCUCAUGAAUGCAGCCCGGUGCCAUCACCUGAGUGCCACAGGGCUCAGCCCCCACCCGUGGUGAUGAGAAUCCAAGGCAGCCCUCCUUCUCUACCUGACAGUUGUUUCCCUCUGGCGCUGAGCAGGAAAAUGAGGACUAUUUAAGAGGAGUGCAAGGAGGGCAGUAAAUGUCUCCUCUUGUUAAUAAUACCAGCUUUGUCUGAGCUUUCCCUGGCUCUGCACGGUGAGAGGAGCUGCUGCUGUUUUAAUAUGUUUGACGAAUAAUAA
Molecule: long non-coding RNA, 471 nt
Organism: Platichthys flesus (European flounder)
Lineage: Eukaryota; Metazoa; Chordata; Actinopteri; Pleuronectiformes; Pleuronectidae
Exons: 3
Source: RefSeq, a predicted model, not a curated record